GGAUUUCUGAAUUUUGUAAAAUAAAAGGUUUUCUACCCCUCGUGGUAGCGUUUUUAAAGAAUAAAGGUUUUCGUGUAGGAAACAGUUUUCAAAAGGUUUCUGUGGAUUUUCCAUCUUAGUAUUUCAAAACCUGUUUCUGUGGUUGGAAACAUUUUAACUAAUAGGUGUGGAUUUAUGCAUAAAGGUGAACCUGUAGUGAAUGGUGUACGAAUAUAUAUAACGGUUGGUUAUUUGUAAGUUCGUUUGUUGUGGUUAUGCCUGGAUGACUUCUUGUACUUGUGCGACGCCGUGCAAAUACAGGGGAGACUCUGUCCGCGUGAACAGUGGAUUUCCUGUAUUUGUGGCGGAUCUGGCAUACUCUGGGGUCAGGUUUUCAAAAAAAAA
RNAcentral lists this long non-coding RNA (384 nucleotides) under Ananas comosus (pineapple). RNAcentral describes it as "long non-coding RNA (ACOM_LNC035021)". The record is from RNAcentral. Lineage: Eukaryota; Viridiplantae; Streptophyta; Magnoliopsida; Poales; Bromeliaceae.